GGCCUCAGCACCAGUGUGUGCAGUAUGUGUGUGUGUUGGAAAGCUUAGCAGUGUGUACACAGGGUUUCUUUAUUUGAUCACUGUUUAGAUAUGCUGUGCGUGACACCAGAAAGGCCAUAUCAUUAAAGCUGUUUGUUUGUGUGUGGGUCAGUGUCUGUGUGUGCUGCCCUGUGAGCCAGGUAACAGGGGAAAGUGUACUUUCUGAUAGAUUAAGCCUUACAUAACUCCGCAUUCCACUCAGCAGGUAAACAAGCACCAGGACUAAGGUCAAAAACAGUGAGGUACCAGCUCAACUGUGGAGCCAGACGCUGGAGCCUGAAGCACAUCCCAGCCUCAGUGACCCACAUGCUCACAAACCCAAGCUGUCAUUAAAAUCUGUAUGGCUUAGAAAGCUCAGUAAUCAACAGGAACUGUUAUCUAAUCUUCUCCAGGUUUGGGUAGUGACUGCAGCACUCUGAGCAGAGAAUCCCAGACUUCCCUGACCCUGGCCACCUCUUCCAGCUCAUCAGAGAGGACACAGUCUUUCCCAACAUGUACACAUUAUGCUUACGUGUGGACGACUUUAAUGCACAAGGCUAAGAGGCAGGCAUGACCCUGGAUUCACAUGCACGAGCCUUGCUAAUAGAUUCACGGAGAUGGAAUUAGAGGAAAGUAGUUGCAGGGAGGGAGGUUUUAACAUGAUUUGUAACAGGAUCAAACUGCAUUUGCAUUGGAAUUGACAACUGAAUUUGCAUCACUGACCAAAACAUUCAAGUCCAAUCUUCUAAAUAUAUAAAUUCAUUUAUAAAUGGUUGUUCUGUGAUGUACGUUUAUUGUCCCAGUGUUAGCUGUAUAUAUGUCUGCGUGUAGAGCUUUUAUGACCAUUUAUACAAUGCUAAAAUAAACAUUGUGUGAUUGGUGUUUAUCUGUGCAUAUGAGCACAAAAUAAAGUAUCCCAGUGGUAUAGUAGCACUGAAAUUUAAUUAGCUCAUGGACACUUUUUGGCAAUAGCCUCUACUCUGAUCCUUACCAGAUGUACCUGACUCCUCAGACUAUCAGAUAUUUUACUCUCACCUUAGGAAACUCACAGGCUUGAUGGGUAAUUUUCAAUGCUCACUAUACAGUUAUUUUUCAAGCUGUUUGGAGAAAUCCAGGAAUUAAACUGACAGCUCGACAAAUGAACAAAUUCAACAUAAAUCUGACUUCCUGACCUUCUUGGCUUCGUAAAUUUCUGGCAACAUUCAUCGGGCACCAGUUCAAGAACUUUAAGCACUGCAGGAUUACCAUGGACAACUCGGUGCUGUCAUUUAAGUUUAAUGUAUAGAACCUUUUUUGAUAGGUAACUAAAACCAUUAAGGUAGCAAUUAAACAGUCUUCACUUUUUGUCAUGAGCCUUAGACUGCAUUGUAAAGAGAACGAUCCACUUCAAUAAAAGACAGAAGCUGAACAGCUGAACGUCCUUUGUUAAAUACCACAUAAUAAAUUCAGUCCACC
Molecule: long non-coding RNA, 1473 nt
Organism: Astatotilapia calliptera (eastern happy)
Lineage: Eukaryota; Metazoa; Chordata; Actinopteri; Cichliformes; Cichlidae
Source: Ensembl